GGGGGCCCGCAAGCGGUGGAGCAUGUGGUUCAAUUCGACGCAACGCGAAGAACCUUACCUGGGCUCGAAAUGUAGCGGAAUCGGGUGGAAACAUCCGCGUCUCGCAAGAGACUGCUAUAUAGGUGCUGCAUGGCUGUCGUCAGCUCGUGUCGUGAGAUGUUGGGUUAAGUCCCGCAACGAGCGCAACCCUUAUCCCUAGUUGCCAUCGGGUCAAGCCGGGCACUCUAGUGAAACCGCCCAGGAUAACUGGGAGGAAGGUGGGGAUGACGUCAAGUCCUCAUGGCCUUUAUGUCCAGGGCUACACACGUGCUACAAUGGUCGGUACAAACCGUCGCAAACCCGUGAGGGGGAGCUAAUCGGAAAAAGCCGGCCUCAGUUCGGAUUGGAGUCUGCAACCCGACUCCAUGAAGCUGGAAUCGCUAGUAAUCGCGGAUCAGAACGCCGCGGUGAAUACGUUCCCGGGCCUUGUACACACC
This 476-nucleotide ribosomal RNA is filed under the name uncultured bacterium. RNAcentral describes it as "bacterial SSU rRNA". It matches the Rfam family "Bacterial small subunit ribosomal RNA", at positions 915 to 1391 of the family's 1533-position model. The record is from RNAcentral.